GAGCCUGUCCUGGCCCUACAGAUAGGAGAUGAGGGGACUGUCACACACCCAUCACUGACAGCCACCUGCAGAAUUCGUGAGGGGCCUAGGACAUGGAGCUGCCCACCAUGGACAGAGACCUCUGAAACUGUGAGCAGCCUUCAUCAGUGAAGCUCUGUCCUGGGGCUGGCCAGGGGCUUCAGGACAGGGAAGCCCUCGGCACACCCAGCACCACACACGUGUGGCAGACAGACGAAGACUGUGACAAAAACAGCAAGCCAGGACACAGAGACCCUCUGCCAUCGACCAAGCGGGGUCUGCUGCUGAAUGGAAAGGGAGCAGGCAGGAGGGGACCCCAUCCUGGACCCUCAUGGCUCCUCACCUGCCAUGCACCCUCACCAUAGGAGUGAACCAAUGGAACCCGACAAAUGCCUGGAUUGGGGCCCCCGCCCGAGCUCACCUGGUUCUACUGACAGCCCAGGUGGAGGCAACGGCGGGGUGAGCAGCUUCCAUGGGGGAGGUGAGGUCGGAGA
This is a long non-coding RNA of Marmota flaviventris (yellow-bellied marmot), 512 nucleotides long. RefSeq lists it as uncharacterized. Lineage: Eukaryota; Metazoa; Chordata; Mammalia; Rodentia; Sciuridae. The record is from RefSeq and is a predicted model, not a curated record.